CUCGCCGUUACUGAGGGAUGAAAAAAAAUAAAAAGUUUCCCCCCCGUGAUAAUUUUUUUAAAACGGCCCCGGGUUCUACCCGCGCAAAGGUAGUAUAAACACUUCUCAAUAAUUGGGGGCGAGAAAGAGUGGAAUAAAAAAAAUGUUUUCCUUUUUUUAAAAAUAAAUAUUAAUUUUUAAGUGAAGAAGCUGAAUAAGUUCGAAAGACAAGAAGCCCCUAUAGAGCUUUUUUUUGAAAAUAUAUUUUUUUUUAUAUAAUUGGUGGGGCGACCUAGGGUUAAAUUUUCCCCCUAUAUGAAAAGAUAUAUUUAUCUAUAUAAAUGAUCCUAAAAAUAGAUCAUAAGAAUAAGCUACCUUAGGGAUAACAGGCUAAUCCUAUUUGAAAGUUCUUAUUAAAAAUAGGGUUUGGCACCUCGAUGUUGGCUUAGGGAUUCUUAAUGGCGCAAAAGUCAUAGAAG
Molecule: ribosomal RNA, 458 nt
Filed under: Drawida japonica
Lineage: Eukaryota; Metazoa; Annelida; Clitellata; Moniligastrida; Moniligastridae
Description: partial 16S ribosomal RNA
Rfam family: Bacterial large subunit ribosomal RNA (bases 176-458)
Source: RNAcentral